AUGUUUACUCUGUAUUCAUAAUGGAGUUAACAGCUUUCGCUAUGCAGUUUAGAUUCAUAAAGCGUGUUAAAUUCUUUUCAUUAAGUAAUAGAAGUUCUUUUCAAGGUGAAGCGAAUACGUAUGUAAUAUUCGAAUUCAUAUCGUUGUUAGCUCUGAUUGUUAUCGCUACUUAUCAAUUGCUUCUUUGCAUUUUCUUGGAUUUAUUUUUAUACGAAGCGCUAGAAGGUGCAUCUGAAGGCGAAAAGUUAUUUUGCUAUAUCGAUUUUUCGGUUUUAACCGCCUUUUUAUCGGGGCAAGGUAUUUCUGCU
RNAcentral lists this long non-coding RNA (308 nucleotides) under Androctonus crassicauda. Lineage: Eukaryota; Metazoa; Arthropoda; Arachnida; Scorpiones; Buthidae. The record is from RNAcentral.